This 121-nucleotide non-coding RNA is filed under the name Streptococcus varani. RNAcentral's name for it is "Streptococcus sRNA 10". It matches the Rfam family "Streptococcus sRNA 10". Lineage: Bacteria; Bacillati; Bacillota; Bacilli; Lactobacillales; Streptococcaceae. The record is from Rfam by way of RNAcentral.
AUCAGCGAUCUUGUGAUAGAAGCUUUUAAAAAUUGCGUUUAUGUCGUCAUUACGAAAUCUAGAAUUUCCGGCAUAAUCUUAAACAGCGAGACUUGUUUUUUAAAAAAACAAGUCUCUUUUU